Molecule: ribosomal RNA, 83 nt
Filed under: uncultured bacterium
Lineage: Bacteria
Description: partial 16S ribosomal RNA
Source: RNAcentral
AUGACGGUCUUCGGAUUGUAAGCUGCUUUUAUAGAUGAAGAUUAUGACGGUAAUCUAUGAAUAAGGACCGGCUAACUACGUGC